This 1638-nucleotide long non-coding RNA is filed under the name Mus musculus (house mouse). Its description in RNAcentral is "long non-coding RNA chr5:149399489-149401127". Lineage: Eukaryota; Metazoa; Chordata; Mammalia; Rodentia; Muridae. The record is from RNAcentral.
AAGCCACAGCAUCAAAAGAACAGGAUGCCCAAUACCUGUGCUAAAUUCACUCACUACCAUGGUGGCAAGAAGCCAGGCACAUUGCAGACACAUUUCUGCCAUUGAUGUUUUGACCGCUGCAGCCUCUCUGGAGUCUUUCAUCUAGCCGGUGUGAAGAUGACAGGUUCUAAUGAGAAAAGAAAAAAAGCCAAGCAGGAUUUAUCUCGCUCGGAAAACACAAACAGGGAGACCUAAGAGACCCCACAAGAGCGCUGCAAAGAGUUCAAAGAGGAGGGGAAUUCUGGCAGCCACAGAAAAGUCCUGGAGAAAGAGGAAGUGGGGCAGCUGAAUGCCACCCACCGUUCUACCUGGAAGGCCAGUGCUUUCACAGGCUCUGCAGACGGUGAUAGAAGCACCCAUGCUUGAUGAGGCCAUGUUGUGCUAUGGUGGUCUGAAUGAAAACGGCCCCCCAAAGACUCAUAAGAAAUGGCACUAUUGGAGGUGUGGUCCUGUUGGGGUAGGUGUGGCCUUGUUGGAGGAAGUGUGUCACUGGGGGCGAGCUUUGAGGUUACAGAAGCUCAAGGCAGGCCCAGUGUCUCACUUGCUCUUCCUGCUGCCUGCCAAUCCAGAUGUCGAACUCUCUGCUUCUUCUCCAUCAUCAUGUUUGCCUGUGCACCACUGUGCUUCCCACCAUGACGAUAAUGGACUAAACCUCUGAACCUGGAAGCAAGCUACAAUGAAAUGUUUUCCUUUAUAAGAGUUGCUAUGGUCAUGGUGUCUCUUCACAGCAAUAAAACCCUAAGUAAGACAUGUGCUCAGAUUGUGGAAGAAGGCCCAAAUAGGCUGCACAGCAACGGGGCAACUUCAGCCUUGAGCUUCCUCAGAUCUGACCCUCAACACCUGUGAAAAAGCCAUCAAGCUUUGGAAGAAGUGUUGGUAAGGUCUUUCAGAGAUCUAAGAGAGUGGUGGCACUUGCUGAGGUAGUGUGGCAUACGACUGGAGAGAGCUGCAGCUGCUCACUCUGGGUUCUGUCAGAAUCAUGAGGAGAUGCCAUAACAAAGGAAAGAGGAGUAGGAUCCACCCUCUGCUGCCAUGCCCUACAACCAAGAUGGCAGCCUUUCUACCCUCAGGCCACUUGUGCUCAAGGAUUGUCUCUCAGUCGCCAACUAUUCUAGUUUCCUUCCUGUUGUCGUGCUAAAACACUGACCAAAGGCACUUAAGGGAAGAAAGGAUAUAUUUGGAUUGCCCUUCCAGGUCACAGUCCAUCACUGAAAACAGGAACCUGAAGCAGAAGCCACAGAAGAGUACUGUUCGCUGGCUCACAGCAAGACACAUGCUUAGCUACCUUUCCUAUGCAGCCCAGGCCCACCUAGGCCUAGGGAUGACACCGCCCACAGCGGGCUGGACUUUUCUACAUCAAUUAACAAUGAAGAAGAUGGCCCCACAGUCAUGCCCAUGAGCCAAGUUGGUCUAGGCAAUUCCUCAGUUGAGACUCUCUUCUCAAGUAAUCUUUGGCCUUGCCAGUCUAAGCUAAUUCGGCACCAACUCGUCUAGCUUUUAGGUCAAUUAUGUAAAUGUUUCCUAUUCUAAAGCUUUCUCAUUUGACCUAUAUUCUUCUGUUAGAUGUGUCCAACAUUAAAAAUAAACAUGCACGGAUGU